CCUACGGGAGGCAGCAGUGAGGAAUCUUGGUCAAUGGACGAGAGUCUGAACCAGCCACGUAGCGUGAAGGAUGACUGCCCUAUGGGCUGUAAACUUCUUUUUUAUGGGAAUAAAAUUUUCCACGUGACGGUUCUUGUAUGUACCAUAUGAAUAAAGAUCGGCUAACUUCGUGCCAGCAGCCGCGGUAAUACAGAGGGUCCGAGCGUUAUCCGGACUUAUUGGGUUUAAAGGGAGCGUAGGGUGGUUGUUAAGUCAGUUGUGAAAGGUGGCGGCUCAACCGUGGCGUGUCAGUGGAAACUGGCAAUCUUGAGUACAGAAGAGGAGAGUGGAAUUCGAGGUGUAGCGGUGAAAUGCUUAGAUAUAUCGAAGAACUCCAGUGGCGAAGGCGACUCACUGGACUGUAACUGACACUGAGGCUCGAAAGUGUGGGUAUCAAACAGGAUUAGAUACCCUUGUAGUC
This 460-nucleotide ribosomal RNA is filed under the name uncultured bacterium. Its description in RNAcentral is "partial 16S ribosomal RNA". It matches the Rfam family "Bacterial small subunit ribosomal RNA", at positions 338 to 795 of the family's 1533-position model. The record is from RNAcentral.